Molecule: ribosomal RNA, 440 nt
Filed under: uncultured bacterium
Lineage: Bacteria
Description: partial 16S ribosomal RNA
Rfam family: Bacterial small subunit ribosomal RNA
Source: RNAcentral
CCUACGGGAGGCAGCAGUAGGGAAUUUUGCGCAAUGGGGGAAACCCUGAUGCAGCAACACCGCGUGAAUGUUAAGCCCUUCGGGGUGUAAAGGUCUUUUAAUAGGGGCGAAAUUUGACUGUACCUAUAAAAGAAGCACCGGCUAACUCCGUGCCAGCAGCCGCGGUAAUACGUGGGGUGCAAGCGUUGUCCGGAUUCAUUGGGCGUAAAGCGUUCGUAGGCGGUAUGUCAAGUCUGAUGUUAAAGCCCGGGGCUCAACUCUGGGUCGGCAUUGGAUACUGGCAAGCUAGAGUGUGGUAGAGGUAAGGGGAAUUCCUGGUGUAGCGGUGAAAUGCGUAGAUAUCAGGAGGAACAUCGGUGGCGAAAGCGCUUUACUGGACCAUUAUUGACGCUGAGGAACGAAAGCCAGGGGAGCAAAUGGGAUUAGAUACCCGGGUAGUC